RNAcentral lists this unclassified non-coding RNA (393 nucleotides) under soil metagenome. Its description in RNAcentral is "partial contains 5.8S ribosomal RNA, internal transcribed spacer 2, and large subunit ribosomal RNA". The stretch from base 1 to 120 matches the Rfam family "5.8S ribosomal RNA", at positions 35 to 154 of the family's 154-position model. The record is from RNAcentral.
GAUGAAGAACGCAGCGAAGUGCGAUAAGUAAUGUGAAUUGCAGAAUUCCGUGAAUCAUCGAAUCUUUGAACGCAAAUUGCACUUUUUGGUAUCCCGAAAAGUAUGCCUGUUUGAGGAUCAGUAUAACAAAAAUCGGUAUGUUGCUUUUUUUUGUAACGUUCCGGAGUUUGGGUUAUCUUAAACAAAAUUUUAGUUUAAGAAACUUAAAAUUAACCAUCUUUUUGCGCAUUUUUAGAUGUACAAUAAAUUAUUUAUUUCGUCUAUAUAUUAUCAUGCCAAAAUUUUAUUAGAUGCGACCAUAUCGAGUGGUUUCGUGCCUAUAAAUUUAUCAUAAUUUGACCUCAAAUCAGGUAAGAAUACCCGCUGAACUUAAGCAUAUCAAUAAGCGGAGGA